UGGGGAAUUUUGGACAAUGGGCGCAAGCCUGAUCCAGCCAUGCCGCGUGCGGGAAGAAGGUCUUCGGGUUGUAAACCGCUUUUGUCAGGGAAGAAAUCUUCUGAGUUAAUACCUCGGGAGGAUGACGGUACCUGAAGAAUAAGCACCGGCUAACUACGUGCCAGCAGCCGCGGUAAUACGUAGGGUGCAAGCGUUAAUCGGAAUUACUGGGCGUAAAGCGUGCGCAGGCGGUUUUGUAAGACAGAGGUGAAAUCCCCGGGCUCAACCUGGGAACUGCCUUUGUGACUGCAAGGCUUGAGUGCGGCAGAGGGGGAUGGAAUUCCGCGUGUAGCAGUGAAAUGCGUAGAUAUGCGGAGGAACACCGAUGGCGAAGGCAAUCCCCUGGGCCUGCACUGACGCUCAUGCACGAAAGCGUGGGGAGCAAACAGGAUUAGAUACCCUGGUAGUCCACGCCCUAAACGAUGUCAACUGGUUGUUGGGAAGGUUCCUUCUCAGUAACGUAGCUAACGCGUGAAGUUGACCGCCUGGGGAGUACGGCCGCAAGGUU
RNAcentral lists this ribosomal RNA (547 nucleotides) under uncultured bacterium. Its description in RNAcentral is "partial 16S ribosomal RNA". It matches the Rfam family "Bacterial small subunit ribosomal RNA", at positions 355 to 895 of the family's 1533-position model. The record is from RNAcentral.